Molecule: transfer RNA, 68 nt
Filed under: Megacopta cribriella
Lineage: Eukaryota; Metazoa; Arthropoda; Insecta; Hemiptera; Plataspidae
Description: tRNA-His
Source: RNAcentral
AUUUAAAUAGUUUAUUUAGAAUUAUAAUUUGUGGUAUUAUAGGAGUAAUAUGGAAAUUACUUUAAAUC